GUCAACAUCAUCCGAUUUGAAUAUAGGCGAAUCGCCAAUAUGGGAUAAAGAAACUCAAUCCAUAUACUUUUCGGAUAUUUUUGGAAAAAAAAUGUAUCAUUAUUCAUAUUAUGAGAAAAAAAUGUAUUUAGUUGAUUUCCAUCCGGAUUCGUCGCCAGGCUUUAUGUUUCCCGUACGAAAUAGCCCAAAUUUAUACGGCGUUGGCGGGCGUUGGUUGUAAUCGAUCGGUUUUUACAAUAAAAUGGGAUGGAAAGUCACGCCAUGUAAAAGAUCUUAAAAAAAUGUUCAGCGUUAAAUCGAACACAAUUCAUUUAAUGAACCAUGGAGUUGCUGAUACACUGGGAAAUUUUUUCGUUGGAACUUUUGAUCCAGAUAUUUGUAGUACGUCCGACUCUCUCGGACUUUAAAGUAACAACUGGCCUUGCAUUUGAUCCAAAAGCAAAAACACUAUUGCACUUAGAUGGAUGUACUCAAACCAUAACUGAAUUUUCUUGCCAAUGAACGAGUUUUUAUGCAACUAAACUUUCCUAAGCAUAUGCUUCUUGUGGGAAUCGCAUUUCGACGAACGCGCUACAUAUAUGUCGGAUUGUAUAAAGAAUCCGUAGUAUUAAAAAUCAAUCGAAAAUCGAAAAAAAUUGUUGAUAAAAUUAAACUUCCAACACCAUAUUUAACAUCAAUGGUGUUUGGUGGUCCAAAC
Molecule: long non-coding RNA, 697 nt
Organism: Contarinia nasturtii (swede midge)
Lineage: Eukaryota; Metazoa; Arthropoda; Insecta; Diptera; Cecidomyiidae
Exons: 3
Source: RefSeq, a predicted model, not a curated record